UAACCUAGAGGAGACUCUUAAGAAGAAAUCCCAAGACCCCGGGGACCUGAAGGAACAUCUGCCGUUUUUCAUCAAAACAAGAGACCCCCCUUGAUUUUUGAUCUUCUUCGACCCCCCCUCCAACCGGACCCUAGUUCCCUUCUUCAUGAAAACAACGAAAAACCCUAAGGCCUAAGUCUAAAAAUGAGCAGCUAACCUAAAACUCUAAAACUUUUCAGCCGCAAAAACUCAAAAAAAAGGAGCCCAAAAGAUCAUCUUCUUCACCAGAUUUUUCAGCCGUUUUCCAUGAGCACACCCUAGGCUAAGCUUCCUUCUUCUUGGACAAGAAAUGAAAAUACCUAAUGCCUAAAAAGAUCCAGCCAUUUCUGAUCAAAACUUUCAGUAAUCUAGACCUAAGCUUCAGAGGCAAAGCGCGCGCGCGCGCACACACACACACACACACACAAUCUAACGCCCCAUUUCCUGUCCGUUGAGCUCGUCGGAAAAUGAGCUACACUAGCCAACGAUCUUCAGUUGCCAGCCCUCACCCUUUCCAUGGCUGCCGAUGCUGGAGGUGAUGACCGGCGACGACCAUGACUGUCACUCCUGUGCCUAACCGUUGUUCCUGUCAUUUCUUUCCCCUCUACUGUCAUUGUUUCGCCGGAGUCGCACCAUCGACGUUGAACAAACAGAAAAUCGGCGAUAGUCAUCAAAACUGCUAAAUCUGUUUCUGCCGAGUUGUAUCGAAAUUAACAUGUUAAUGUCGUCUGAGGUCGUGGUUCAAUAUUGCCGGUUCGAGGUUCGUUGUGGUCGAAUUUGAGUUUGUCGAAUUUCAGUUCGUUGGUUUUAUUACCGAUUUUCCGUCGCUUAGCAUUUUCAAGCUGUCAAACAAUCAUAUUUCAGAUUUGUUCAAGGUCUAUUUCUCCCUUUUUUCUACUAUUCUGCCUUAGUUCCAUGUUUCUGUUGUAUUGAUCUUUUAGUUAAGGUUUCAUUAUUGUUUGUGAUGCCUUAGUAGUGUUUGUGUACGUUUUUUUUUGUUCUGAUGAUAUUUGUUUGGGUGUUUCCUUCGUGAAUUUGUAUUCAGGUGGAUUUCAAUGGUUGAAAUGAGUUCUUUUGUAUCCCUG
RNAcentral lists this long non-coding RNA (1103 nucleotides) under Nicotiana tabacum (common tobacco). Its description in RNAcentral is "long non-coding RNA (NTAB_LNC004814)". Lineage: Eukaryota; Viridiplantae; Streptophyta; Magnoliopsida; Solanales; Solanaceae. The record is from RNAcentral.